RNA transcript from Gossypium raimondii (Peruvian cotton), 1097 nucleotides. It is a transcript of the gene named phosphatidyl-N-methylethanolamine N-methyltransferase, with no coding region annotated. The transcript has 3 exons. The record is from RefSeq and is a predicted model, not a curated record. NCBI's taxonomy places the organism in Eukaryota, Viridiplantae, Streptophyta, Magnoliopsida, Malvales, Malvaceae.
AAAGAUACCCAACAAGAUAGCAAAAAUCAGAUUGCUAACAUUUCGUUGGGUAUGGUUUGGUAUGUCAACUAAGUAGAAGAAAACAUCAGAAAGAAGAAAAAAAAAUGGGAAUUUUGGCAGGCAUAGGGGUUUUGUUGCCAUUCCCAUUUUACUACUUGUUAUGGACAUAUCCACAGUCAUGGGUGAACCUUUGUGGGAAAGGAAGGGACCCAUCAAAGGUGAUGGCCCUUGUCUCCCAUUUCAUCAAGCUAAUUCAGUUCGUUUCUCUCUUUUCCGUUUCUUCCUUCUCUUGGCCUCCCCCUCUUUACUUUUGGCCCCUCUUUGCCUUCGGUCAGUUCCUCAACUUCAGGGUGUAUCAAUUGCUUGGUGAAUCUGGAACUUAUUACGGUGUACGCUUUGGAAAGAAUAUUCCAUGGGUAAGGGAAUUCCCUUUUGGGUUCAUUAAAGAUCCACAGUAUGUUGGGAGCAUCAUGAGUCUUGUAGCAUGUCUAUCUUGGGUACCGUUUCAAUAUAUUCUCCUUUGGUCGUUGGGCUAUCUAUUUAUGAUCCACAUCGAAUCAACUGAAGAUGUGACAACACGUGCAAAGCCUUUUUCCUAAUUGUUUGAGGUUGCAGUCAGCUCUUUACUUAUUUCUGAAAAACGUUUCCAUGGUGAGAAUUGGGCUCCUUUGUUGUUGUGAAUUUGGAAAUAAAUCCAUGUUUAUGAGGAUACAACUGAAAGCUAAAAAUUUGGGUCGGUUCAAGUAGAAUUUGAUGGGAGCAUGCGAAGUCCGUGGUGACGCUGAUUAUGUAAGGCAAAGUAUGGUCCUCUAAUGAGUCGUCUUCAGAUAAGAUAACUUGGCGAGAUAUAUAUUGAGGUUAACCUAAUAGGAUAUACUUUAUGUGAGGUAUAAUAAUUGUUGUUUAGUCGAAAGUGAUCUUCUUUAAGACAAGAAGCAUAAGGUAUAACGAGUAUUCAGAUCACAUGUGUGAGUAAUAUGUUAGACAAUUGUGGAGUUGACGGAAGCGUGUUUUAGUGGAACACCUUGCGCUAGCUACAUUUUGUUUCUAUUAAGGACAUUCAGGUAUCAAAUGUAACAUCGACAAUGUCUGGGUAA